AGUGAACGCUGGCGGUAGGCCUAACACAUGCAAGUCGAACGGCAGCACAGUAAGAGCUUGCUCUUACGGGUGGCGAGUGGCGGACGGGUGAGGAAUACAUCGGAAUCUACUUUUUCGUGGGGGAUAACGUAGGGAAACUUACGCUAAUACCGCAUACGACCUACGGGUGGAAGCAGGGGAUCUUCGGACCUUGCGCGAUUGAAUGAGCCGAUGUCGGAUUAGCUAGUUGGCGGGGUAAAGGCCCACCAAGGCGACGAUCCGUAGCUGGUCUGAGAGGAUGAUCAGCCACACUGGAACUGAGACACGGUCAAGACUCCUACGGGAGGCAGCAGUGGGGAAUAUUGGACAAUGGGCGCAAGCCUGAUCCAGCCAUACCGCGUGGGUGAAGAAGGCCUUCGGGUUGUAAAGCCCUUUUGUUGGGAAAGAAAAGCAGCAGGUUAAUACCCCGCUGUUCUGACGGUACCCAAAGAAUAAGCACCGGCUAACUUCGUG
Molecule: ribosomal RNA, 492 nt
Filed under: uncultured bacterium
Lineage: Bacteria
Description: partial 16S ribosomal RNA
Rfam family: Bacterial small subunit ribosomal RNA
Source: RNAcentral